RNAcentral lists this ribosomal RNA (532 nucleotides) under Bombus impetuosus. RNAcentral's name for it is "partial 16S ribosomal RNA". The stretch from base 380 to 532 matches the Rfam family "Bacterial large subunit ribosomal RNA", at positions 2473 to 2626 of the family's 2925-position model. Lineage: Eukaryota; Metazoa; Arthropoda; Insecta; Hymenoptera; Apidae. RNAcentral also lists the same sequence under 1 other name. The record is from RNAcentral.
GGCUUAUUGAAAAUAAUUUUAAGUCAAUCUGCCCAAUGAUGAUCUAAAUUUAAAUGGCUGCAGUAUAACUAACUGUACAAAGGUAGCAUAAUCAAUUGUUUUUUAAUUAAAAACUAGAAUGAAAGAAUUAAUGAGAUAUAUACUGUCUCAUAUAUAUAAAAUAAAUUUAAAUUUUUAGUAAAAAUGCUUAAAUUAAUUUACGGGACGAUAAGACCCUAUAGAAUUUUAUAUUUAUAUUUAAUUUAUUAUUUAAUUAUAAUAUAAAUAUUUAAUUGGGAGGAUUAGUAAAUUAAAAAAACUUUAUUUUUAAAAUAAACUUUAAUUUUAGAAUAUAAAUUUUGAUCUUAUAUUAUAAAAUAAAAAAAUAAAUUACCUUAGGGAUAACAGCGUAAUAUCUUUUUAAAGACCAUAUUAAUAAAGAUGUUUGCGACCUCGAUGUUGAAUUAAGAUAAAUUUUAGAUGAAGAGAUCUAAAUAUUAAGUCUGUUCGACUUUUAAAAUCUUACAUGAUUUGAGUUCAAAUCGACGUAAGU